RNAcentral lists this ribosomal RNA (497 nucleotides) under uncultured bacterium. RNAcentral describes it as "partial 16S ribosomal RNA". It matches the Rfam family "Bacterial small subunit ribosomal RNA", at positions 28 to 507 of the family's 1533-position model. The record is from RNAcentral.
GAUGAACGCUGGCGGCGUGCCUAAUACAUGCAAGUCGAGCGAACAGACGAGGAGCUUGCUCCUCUGACGUUAGCGGCGGACGGGUGAGUAACACGUGGAUAACCUACCUAUAAGACUGGGAUAACUUCGGGAAACCGGAGCUAAUACCGGAUAACAUGUUGAACCGCAUGGUUCAACAGUGAAAGACGGUCUUGCUGUCACUUAUAGAUGGAUCCGCGCCGCAUUAGCUAGUUGGUAAGGUAACGGCUUACCAAGGCAACGAUGCGUAGCCGACCUGAGAGGGUGAGCGGCCACACUGGAACUGAGACACGGUCCAGACUCCUACGGGAGGCAGCAGUAGGGAAUCUUCCGCAAUGGGCGAAAGCCUGACGGAGCAACGCCGCGUGAGUGAAGAAGGUCUUCGGAUCGUAAAACUCUGUUAGUAGGGAAGAACAAAUGUGUAAGUAACUAUGCACGUCUUGACGGUACCUAAUCAGAAAGCCACGGCUAACUACGUG